CCUACGGGAGGCAGCAGUGGGGAAUAUUGCACAAUGGGGGAAACCCUGAUGCAGCGACGCCGCGUGAGCGAUGAAGUAUUUCGGUAUGUAAAGCUCUAUCAGCAGGGAAGAAGAUGACGGUACCUGACUAAGAAGCCCCGGCUAACUACGUGCCAGCAGACGCGGUAAUACGUAGGGGGCAAGCGUUAUCCGGAUUUACUGGGUGUAAUGGGAGCGUAGACGGCGAUGCAAGCCAGAUGUGAAAGCCCGGGGCUCAACCCCGGGAUUGCAGUUGGAACUGUGUGGCUGGAGUGUCGGAGAGGCAGGCGGAAUUCGUGGUGUAGCGGUGAAAUGCGUAGAUAUUACGAGGAACACCAGUGGCGAAGGCGGCCUGCUGGACGAUGACUGACGUUGAGGCUCGAAAGCGUGGGGAGCAAACAGGAUUAGAUACCCGUGUAGUC
Molecule: ribosomal RNA, 440 nt
Filed under: uncultured bacterium
Lineage: Bacteria
Description: partial 16S ribosomal RNA
Rfam family: Bacterial small subunit ribosomal RNA
Source: RNAcentral